GUAACUCGAACAAAUUCUUCAACCAUUUGUAUUAUCCUGGUUCAAACACAAGGAAAGACAACCCGGCAGGAACAAGUAGGAUCAAAGUACUUCUAACUUAUGAUCAGAAGAUUGGCUGCAAAACAAUGCAUGCAACUUGGCAAAUGAUCAAUCAUGACUAAAUAACUUAAUAUACAAGUAGCUUGGCAACAACGAAGAUCCAAAUUAAAGUUGCUAUACUUUCUUUCAAAGUUUCCUCAGAUUGAAAAGAAAUCACCUAAUAACUCAGCUGCUUAGCUUGUUUUCUCUGUGGAUUUGGCAAUUACCGAGCAGUCCUUAGUAUGUCAUUGCCACAGGCAAGAGAAAUAAAUUGCAUAGAGACUCUUUAAAUCUUCUCAAAAUAGUGGAGUCAAAGAAGCCACCGGCUGCAUGACUAAAGGAAAAAUGUUGUUUGCUGUUGAACAUCUACUUAGUCAAACACUUGAUCGGUAUCUUGUAAUGGGAAUUUCUCGUAAUUCACGUUUUAUACACAAAUAUUCACCUAACAAUGCCAUCACAGCAAGCCCAGUAACAUUCACAAUCCACCAUGUUAAUGAGGAAGGCCAAC
RNAcentral lists this unclassified non-coding RNA (586 nucleotides) under Hevea brasiliensis (rubber tree). Lineage: Eukaryota; Viridiplantae; Streptophyta; Magnoliopsida; Malpighiales; Euphorbiaceae. The record is from RNAcentral.